AUAUAAUAGUCUUCCUUCUCUCAAGUCAUGCCCCGUGUAUAAACACGACCUUCCAGCUGCUGUGCAAUUAGUCUGCAUAAAUGUGCAGCUGAAAGCAUUGAGUAGAGCAGAGCAGCGUGGGAGGCCGGGGAAGGAGGAGAAUCUGGAGGCUGUAAUUUGAUCGGAUGGGUUUCUGUGGCUGUGCGGGGAUGAGGACGCGCCCCUAAAACCAAGGGCCUUGAGAGAAAGACAAGUCUCCACACAGACAGCCACAUCACUGCGGGUCCAGCAUGCUGCGCGUCACCGUGUUCCUCUGCGUCCUCGCCGCGUCCUCGUGCGCGCCGCCGCGCUCCUGCGAACCUGGAGAUCAAGCUUUAGGAAGAUGCAAGGAAGCAGUAAAAGAGAAAAUGCAGUGCACAGACAUGGUGCUUAGCUACUGCCAGGACGUGCCAUAUAGGCAUGUUGUCUUCCCCCAACCUCAUUGGGACAGCAGUCGCGACAGGAGGCCGAGCAGAGCACUGAGUAUCUGCUGCUUAAUGUGCUGCACGGCCUGCUGGGGGGCGAGUGCUUGUCCGAGCUACGCCCUACUUGGAUGCUCUGUGCUGGCUCCACGAUGUCGAAUAAUGCCAGAG
Molecule: long non-coding RNA, 611 nt
Organism: Ictalurus punctatus (channel catfish)
Lineage: Eukaryota; Metazoa; Chordata; Actinopteri; Siluriformes; Ictaluridae
Source: Ensembl